UACGUAGGGCGCAAGCGUUGUCCGGAAUUAUUGGGCGUAAAGAGCUCGUAGGCGGUCUGUUACGUCUGCUGUGAAAACCCAGGGCUUAACCCUGGGCUUGCAGUGGAUACGGGCAGACUAGAGGCAGGUAGGGGAGAAUGGAAUUCCCGGUGUAGCGGUGAAAUGCGCAGAUAUCGGGAGGAACACCGGUGGCGAAGGCGGCCCCCUGGUUGGAUACUGACGCUGAGACGCGAAAGCGUGGGGAGCAAACAGG
Molecule: ribosomal RNA, 253 nt
Filed under: uncultured bacterium
Lineage: Bacteria
Description: partial 16S ribosomal RNA
Rfam family: Bacterial small subunit ribosomal RNA
Source: RNAcentral